GCAUCAGUUCACCUGUAGGAAAUGGCCACAUCUCGGUGGUAGAACAUCUGCUUUUCAUGCAGAAGGUCCCAAGUUCAAUCUCCUGGUAGGACUG
Molecule: non-coding RNA, 94 nt
Organism: Podarcis lilfordi (Lilford's wall lizard)
Lineage: Eukaryota; Metazoa; Chordata; Lepidosauria; Squamata; Lacertidae
Source: the annotation of a GenBank genome assembly